RNAcentral lists this ribosomal RNA (465 nucleotides) under Vreelandella stevensii. RNAcentral's name for it is "partial 16S ribosomal RNA". It matches the Rfam family "Bacterial small subunit ribosomal RNA", at positions 338 to 795 of the family's 1533-position model. The record is from RNAcentral. Lineage: Bacteria; Pseudomonadati; Pseudomonadota; Gammaproteobacteria; Oceanospirillales; Halomonadaceae.
CCUACGGGAGGCUGCAGUGGGGAAUAUUGGACAAUGGGGGCAACCCUGAUCCAGCCAUGUCGCGUGUGUGAAGAAGGCCCUCGGGUUGUAAAGCACUUUCAGUGAGGAAGAACGCCUGGUGGUUAAUACCCAUCAGGAAAGACAUCACUCACAGAAGAAGCACCGGCUAACUCCGUGCCAGCAGCCGCGGUAAUACGGAGGGUGCGAGCGUUAAUCGGAAUUACUGGGCGUAAAGCGCGCGUAGGUGGCUUGAUAAGCCGGUUGUGAAAGCCCCGGGCUCAACCUGGGAACGGCAUCCGGAACUGUCAAGCUAGAGUGCAGGAGAGGAAGGUAGAAUUCCCGGUGUAGCGGUGAAAUGCGUAGAGAUCGGGAGGAAUACCAGUGGCGAAGGCGGCCUUCUGGACUGACACUGACACUGAGGUGCGAAAGCGUGGGUAGCAAACAGGAUUAGAUACCCCUGUAGUC